AAACGCCACAUGCACCUGUGCAGAAAACAUUUUAAAUGUCAAACCAAUAAACAUCAAUGUUUUUCAGUUUUGAACAAUAGAUGGCAUAAUGGAGUUUUCAACUGAAUAGCAAAUCCCAAGUUUGUUGACGAUAGACGAAGAAAAAUAAUUCCUCGAAUUGAAGUGUUAAUAUGAAAUAAACAUAUUUGUUUAUAUUGA
This is a long non-coding RNA of Dendroctonus ponderosae (mountain pine beetle), 198 nucleotides long. RefSeq lists it as uncharacterized. The record is from RefSeq and is a predicted model, not a curated record. Lineage: Eukaryota; Metazoa; Arthropoda; Insecta; Coleoptera; Curculionidae. The transcript has 2 exons.